RNAcentral lists this ribosomal RNA (258 nucleotides) under uncultured bacterium. Its description in RNAcentral is "partial 16S ribosomal RNA". It matches the Rfam family "Bacterial small subunit ribosomal RNA", at positions 30 to 276 of the family's 1533-position model. The record is from RNAcentral.
AUUGAACGCUAGCGGGAUGCUUUACACAUGCAAGUCGAACGGCAGCGCGGACUUCGGUCUGGCGGCGAGUGGCGAACGGGUGAGUAAUAUAUCGGAACGUACCCAGUAGCGGGGGAUAACUACUCGAAAGAGUGGCUAAUACCGCAUACGUCCUACGGGAGAAAGCAGGGGACCUUCGGGCCGUUCGUCACUAUUGGAGCGGCCGGACUAUCGGAUUAGUCUAGUUGGUUGGGGGUUAAAGGGACCGUACCCAAACGG